Molecule: long non-coding RNA, 3107 nt
Filed under: Mus musculus (house mouse)
Lineage: Eukaryota; Metazoa; Chordata; Mammalia; Rodentia; Muridae
Description: long non-coding RNA chr17:36144774-36147881
Source: RNAcentral
GUGACAAGGGAUCAAGAGACCCAGGGACACACUCUCCCUUCUGGGACAGGGGCAUCACCCCAGCUGAGGGUUUCUUCUUCCCCAGGACUGAGCCCCAGCCCGAGGGCAGAGGGAGGAGCUGCCCGCGGCCCCUGCACCUGUGCGCAGCAGCGUCUCCUUCCCGAGCUGCAGGUAUCUGCGGAGCGACUCCACGCACUCGCCCUCUAGGUAGGCCUUGUAAUGCUCUGCAGCACCAGCCUGCUCCCACUUGCGUCGGGUGAUCAGCGCUGCCAGGUCCGCCGCCGUCCACGUGUUCAAGUCUUCGUUCAGGGCGAUGUAAUCUCGGCCAUCAUAAGCGAACUGUAGGUAUCCGCGGAGGAGGCGCCCGUCCGACCCCACGUCACAGCCGAACAACAGCUGGAACGUGUGAAGGCCUGCGGGAUCCCAAGGUCAGCGCCGCUCACCCGCACCGCCCCCGCUCGCCCUGGCCUAGUCCACCAGCGGACUCCUCCAAAGUGAAAGGGAAACCGGUCCUGGGUCGGUUCUGCUCCCGAACCUAGACUUGGGAUUGGAGAUCUCCGGCCCCUGUCUAGGGACAUUUCGAGCUCGUGACCUCCCACCCAGGGUCACUCACCGCCUUCACUCUGGUUGUAGUAGCGCUGCGCGGUCCUCAGGCUCCCUCGGAAACUCUGCUCAUUGCGCUUGGCGAUCUGUGUCUCCCGCUCCCAAUACUCCCGCCCCUCGUGCUCCAUCCAUGGAGCCCGCGGCUCAUACCUCGGAUUCUCCGCGUCGCCGUCGAAGCGCACGAACUGCGUGUCGUCCACGUAGCCGACAGAGAUGAAUCGGGGUUCCCGGAGGCCAGGGCGGGACAAGGCGGUCUCGAAAUACCGCAUCGAGUGUGAGCCUGGGGGCGGCGCGCGGUGAGACCCGGACCUCCUCACGGGACUCCGGCCCACUGCGCGGGCCGGGAGGGGAGCAGGGCGCCGGGCUCCGGAUGCGGGUGUAGAAGGGCGGAGGGUCUUGUGAGCGACGGGGGGACGCGGAUUCCACAGUGCCGUCCCCGCCCCUCCACGCAGAGGCCGUUUCCCUCCCGACCCCGCACUCACCCGCGCGGGUCUCGAUCAGGGUCAGGGCGGCCGCCAGCAGCAGGAGCAGCAUUCGCUGCGCCAUUGUCCCAUCUGGGAUACAGGGCAUUUGAGGCCCUCGGGCUGCUUGGACUUUAUAACCAGCGCCCGCGGAGGAGCUGUUGGUUCCUUCCCCAGGAUCCUGCCACCCAAUGGAGAUGAGACCUGCCAGAUAAUUCCUGCUACCUCCGGGUCCAGAGAGGGCAUCAGAUCCCCAGGAGCUAUAAAGUGGUGCUGCUCCAGGGCAAGGGAGGGGCAGGAGCUGAGCUGCAGGAGAGGGUGGUGUCUGCAGGGAGCAGAGUGAGGCCCUUGUGCACCUGUGUCUUAGUGAGGGUUUCCAUUGCUGUGAUAAGACCCCAUGACCAAAAGCAACUUGAGGAAGAAAGGGUUUCUUUCAGUUUACACUUCCACAUCUCAGUCUAUCAUUGAAGAGAUUCAUGGCAGGACCUUGAGAGAGGAUUCUAAGUAGGAACUGAAGCAGAGACCAUGAGGAUCAGUGCUAAUAGCUUUGUAGUUUAUGGCUUGCUCAGUCUUCUGUCUUAUACAAUUCGUGAUCACCACCCAAGACCAACUCCAGUGGGCUGAGCCUUUCCAUACUGAUCAUUCAUAAUAAUUUAAAAAUGCCUUAUAGACUUUCCCAAAAGCGUCCUGGAUGGAAGCAAUUUCUCAAUUCAGGAUCCUCUUCUUAUAUAUGUCUCAGUUUGUGUGGAGUUAACAAAUGCAAACAGCACAGCACCCUGGUGCAGGGUCACUCAGUGAGAGAUGAGGGAGGAGGAUGUGUGAGUUCCUCCCCCUGAGCUGAGCCAGGGACCUGCCCUGUGGACAGAGGCCCCCUGGAAAAACAAUUGGAAUGCAAGGAAUGGGAGCACAGUGGGUUCCAACUCCAUUCCUGCCCCUCAGUCCUGAGGACCUGUCUCUUCCUGCCUGUGCUUGACAAGAUUGAUAUAACCUCCGGAGGGACUGAUAAAGUCAGGGCAUGGGAGGAGAUGGGGAGGAAAAGAGGGACCUUUUCUUACCUCAGAGCAGGGUAAUCAGAUUUUGGGGAGACUGAGGAUAGGUAGGUAGGUAUGUAUGUAGUUAGUUAGGUAGGUAGUUUAUAGAUAAACAGACAGACAGAUAGAUAUAAAAGGCGGGGUGUGAACAUCUUUGGGGACCCAAGAAAGCUGGAUGCUGUCUAGGUUCAAAAAAAGCAUGCUGUUCCCUCACUGUCCAGGCUCUGCAGGGCCAUCUGCAGCUGGGGCAUGCAGAUGCAUUCUUGGGGCAUUUGGGGCAGGUGCUUUGAAGCUGUCUGGCAUGCAGAGUUUGAGGAAACACCUGGAGCUAGCAUUUUACUGAAGCAUAUCUGUAUAUAUAAGGUUCAGAGGAUAAUGUUUAGGGGGUUAGAAUAAAUUGUUUUCCUUAGCUGAACAUUCUAAACUUUUAGACCUAUUAGUUGGGGGUGGGGCAUCCCAAGACCACAGAAAAGGAGAAGAUAACCCCACCCUUAGGACUAAGCUGAAUAGGCAGGAGAUGAAACACGCUGUUGAUUGACAGUUCUUAUCUGGAGUCCUUUUGAUCAUGAGAGGUGGAUUCAAGUAGUUUCUUUGAACCUUAAAAGAAUUUUUUAAGUUUACAAAAUGAGAUAAAUUUUAGACAUGUAAACAUACCACUGUGUAAUGUGUACUGAACUUGUCAUUGUAGAAAAGGCAGCAGAUUCCUGCCUUUGAGUCAUAGUAAAAGCUUGGGGACCCUGAAAAAGGGGUUUGAGGUAAAAGCAUGAAUAGGGCAUACACAGAUUGGAUAGCUCAAUGAGAAGCCCUUUUAAGUCUAUACUUAGAGACAACCAUAGGAAAUUCAUAAUCUUGAGCUUGUGAUCACUGAUUAUCAUAGCUAGAUCAAUAACUCAUAAGAAUGCCAGUGAUUAAUGUUAAAACUCUGAACUCUUUAGAUCUUAAUAUAACAAUAGCAUAGAGAGGGAAGAAAUCUAAAACAUUUUUCAUUUUUAUAUACACUGUAAAUCACUUU